UACGUAGGUGGCAAGCGUUGUCCGGAUUUACUGGGCGUAAAGAGCGCGCAGGCGGUCGUUCAAGUCGCGUGUGAAAGCCCCCGGCUCAACUGGGGAGGGUCACGCGAUACUGAUCGACUCGAAGGCAGGAGAGGGAAGUGGAAUUCCCGGUGUAGUGGUGAAAUGCGUAGAUAUCGGGAGGAACACCAGUGGCGAAGGCGACUUCCUGGCCUGUUCUUGACGCUGAGGCGCGAAAGCUAGGGGGGCAAACGGG
RNAcentral lists this ribosomal RNA (253 nucleotides) under uncultured bacterium. RNAcentral describes it as "partial 16S ribosomal RNA". It matches the Rfam family "Bacterial small subunit ribosomal RNA", at positions 524 to 776 of the family's 1533-position model. The record is from RNAcentral.